ACAUUCUGGCAGUCGCUGCACAUAUCGUGCAGAGGAAAGUCCAUGCUCGCACAGCCUGAGACGGCUGUAGUGUUCGUGCCUGACGAAACCAUAAGUUAGGGCAGUCUGGUACCUUACUAGGCUGACGGCGGGGAAACGACCUGUGUCGCUAUGAUAUGGUCUUAUUACCCUGAAAGUGCCACAGUGACGUAGUCCGUUUGGAAACAAACGGAGUGGAACGCGGUAAACCCCUCGAGCGAGAAACCCAAAUGUUGGUAGGGGCGCCUUUCUGAAGGAAUAAAACGGAAAGAAAGGGCAGAGUCAAACUCUGCAGAUAGAUGACUGCCUCCGGAGUGCAAGGUGAAAAACCGCAGCAGCACAAUGGAACAGAACAUGGCUUACUAGAA
This 386-nucleotide RNase P RNA is filed under the name Alteribacillus bidgolensis. RNAcentral's name for it is "Bacterial RNase P class B". It matches the Rfam family "Bacterial RNase P class B". Rfam says of the family: Ribonuclease P (RNase P) is a ubiquitous endoribonuclease, found in archaea, bacteria and eukarya as well as chloroplasts and mitochondria. Its best characterised activity is the generation of mature 5'-ends of tRNAs by cleaving the 5'-leader elements of precursor-tRNAs. Cellular RNase Ps are ribonucleoproteins. Lineage: Bacteria; Bacillati; Bacillota; Bacilli; Caryophanales; Bacillaceae. The record is from RNAcentral.